RNAcentral lists this ribosomal RNA (498 nucleotides) under uncultured bacterium. Its description in RNAcentral is "partial 16S ribosomal RNA". It matches the Rfam family "Bacterial small subunit ribosomal RNA", at positions 29 to 523 of the family's 1533-position model. The record is from RNAcentral.
AUUGAACGCUGGUGGAAUGCUUUACACAUGCAAGUCGAGCGGCAGCGCGGGGCAACCUGGCGGCGAGCGGCGAACGGGUGAGUAAUACAUCGGAACGUGCCCAGACGUGGGGGAUAACUACUCGAAAGAGUAGCUAAUACCGCAUAUGAUCUAAGGAUGAAAGCGGGGGAUCGCAAGACCUCGCGCGUUUGGAGCGGCCGAUGGAAGAUUAGGUAGUUGGGGGGGUAAAGGCUUACCAAGCCUGCGAUCUGUAGCUGGUCUGAGAGGACGACCGGCCAUCCUGGGAGAGAGACACGGCCCGUACUCCUACGGGAGGAGGCGGGGUGGAAUUGUGGACAAUGGGGGAAACCCUAAUCCAGCAAACCAGCGUGCAGGAUGAAGGCCUCCGGGUUGUAAACUGCUUUCGUGCGGAACGAAAAGUCUGGGGUUAAUACCCUGAGUUCAUGACGGUACCGUAAGAAUAAGCACCGGCUAACUACGUGCCAGCAGCCGCCGUAA